AGAGUUUGAUCAUGGCUCAGGACGAACGCUGGCGGCGCGCCUAACACAUGCAAGUCGAACGGAGCUGAGAGGAGCUUGCUUUCUCAGCUUAGUGGCGAACGGGUGAGUAACGCGUGAGUAACCUGCCCUGGAUGGGGGACAACAGUUGGAAACGACUGCUAAUACCGCAUAAGCCCACGGAUCCGCAUGGAUCUGCGGGAAAAGGAUUUAUUCGCUUCAGGAUGGACUCGCGUCCAAUUAGCUAGUUGGGUGAGGUAACGGCCCACCAAGGCGACGAUUGGUAGCCGGACUGAGAGGUUGAACGGCCACAUUGGGACUGAGACACGGCCCAGACUCCUACGGGAGGCAGCAGUGGGGGAUAUUGCACAAUGGGGAAACCCUGAUGCAGCGACGCCGCGUGGAGGAAGAAGGUUUUCGGAUUGUAAACUCCUGUCGUUAGGGACGAUAAUGACGGUACCUAACAAGAAAGCACCGGCUAACUACGUG
This 486-nucleotide ribosomal RNA is filed under the name uncultured bacterium. RNAcentral's name for it is "bacterial SSU rRNA". It matches the Rfam family "Bacterial small subunit ribosomal RNA", at positions 8 to 507 of the family's 1533-position model. The record is from RNAcentral.